RNAcentral lists this ribosomal RNA (344 nucleotides) under uncultured bacterium. RNAcentral describes it as "bacterial SSU rRNA". It matches the Rfam family "Bacterial small subunit ribosomal RNA", at positions 8 to 334 of the family's 1533-position model. The record is from RNAcentral.
AGAGUUUGAUUCUGGCUCAGGAUGAACGCUGGCGGCGUGCUUAACUCAUGCAAGUCGAACGAAGCGAUUCAGAGGAAGUUUUCGGAUGGAAUCUGAAUUGACUGAGUGGCGGACGGGUGAGUAACGCGUGGGUAACCUGCCUCACACAGGGGGACAACAGUUAGAAAUGGCUGCUAAUACCGCAUAAGCGCACAGCUUCGCAUGAAGCAGUGUGAAAAACUCCGGUGGUGUGAGAUGGACCCGCGUCUGAUUAGGUAGUUGGUGGGGUAACGGCCUACCAAGCCGACGAUCAGUAGCCGACCUGAGAGGGUGACCGGCCACAUUGGGACUGAGGCACGGCCCAA